AUACGGAGGAUGCGAGCGUUAUCCGGAUUUAUUGGGUUUAAAGGGUGCGUAGGCUGUGCGUUAAGUCAGGGGUGAAAUGCCGUCGCUCAACGACGGAGCUGCCCUUGAUACUGGCGUGCUGGAGUACGGAUGCCGUUGGAGGAAUGAGUGGUGUAGCGGUGAAAUGCUGAGAUAUCACUAAGAACACCGAUUGCGAAGGCAUCCGACGAAUCCGUCACUGACGCUGAGGCAUGAAGGCUUGGGGAGAGAACAGAAUUAGAUACCCUGUUAUACCACGCCGUAAACGAUGAUGACUGACCGUCGGCGAUAGACUGACGGUGGCCAAACGAAAGCGAUAAGUCAUCCACCUGGGGAGUACGUCGGCAACGAUGAAACUCAAAUGAAUUGUCGGGG
Molecule: ribosomal RNA, 393 nt
Filed under: uncultured bacterium
Lineage: Bacteria
Description: partial 16S ribosomal RNA
Rfam family: Bacterial small subunit ribosomal RNA
Source: RNAcentral